This 397-nucleotide ribosomal RNA is filed under the name uncultured bacterium. RNAcentral's name for it is "partial 16S ribosomal RNA". It matches the Rfam family "Bacterial small subunit ribosomal RNA", at positions 523 to 918 of the family's 1533-position model. The record is from RNAcentral.
AUACGUAGGUGACAAGCGUUAUCCGGAUUUACUGGGCGUAAAGGGCGUGUAGGCGGUCUUGCAAGUCAGAAGUGAAAUUCCUGAGCUCAACUCGGGCGCUGCUUCUGAAACUGCAGGACUUGAGUGCUGGAGGGGAUAGCGGAAUUCCUAGUGGAGCGGUAAAAUGCGCAGAUAUUAGGAAGAACACCGGUGGCGAAGGCGGUGAUCUGGAGAGUACCGGACGCGGAGGGGCGAAAGCGAGGGGAGCAAGCAGGGUUAGAUACCCUGGGAGUCCACGCCGUAAACGAUGAAUGCUAGGGGUUGCGGGUAGCGACCCCUGCAGUGCCGGAGUAAACACAAUAAGCAUUCCGCCUGGGGAGUACGGCCGCAAGGUUGAAACUUAAAGGAAUUGACGGGG